RNAcentral lists this unclassified non-coding RNA (385 nucleotides) under Hevea brasiliensis (rubber tree). Lineage: Eukaryota; Viridiplantae; Streptophyta; Magnoliopsida; Malpighiales; Euphorbiaceae. The record is from RNAcentral.
CAAUAAUAGAAAAUCACAUGCAUGCUCUUGUUGCUAAAGAAGUGGAUGCUAUUCUAAGAAGAUGUGGCUUUUUGGGUAUGAUGUUUCACUUUUGUAAUUUCCUUUGCAAUGAAGCAGUUGGGACUCCCCUGGCNNNNNNNNNCACUUCUCCAGCUUCUCUUUCCGAGUCUUUGAGGAGUUUCUUCGGACUUAUUUUAGGAAGCGAGAGUUCCCUUCCUGAAUUUGAGCAGAUACAGGUUCCAAAGUUGCGUUCUGAAGCUUCUAUUCAAGUGGCGAAGUCCCUUGCCGAAGCUUAUGAGCUUAUUUACAAAGUAAUACUGGAUCCCAAGAAUGGUUGCUCAGAACCCAAAUCAUUGGCAAGGCAUCCUCCAGAUCAGAUAAGGAC